CUCACACUUUCACAAUCCUCUCUCCCAGCUGCUGUUGCACAGCAGUUUCUCCCUUUCUUAAAUCUGCUCUCACCGAGGUGCAAACACCACCACUUACUGGCUCUGCUCUGGCCGGCAGUAGGACCCUUUUGGAGCCAUCUGGAGCUGGCUCUGCUCUGACAUGAGGCGGCUGCUGGGUGCUGCUCACAGAGGCCACCACUACAGCCCCUCUGCUGCCAAAACCUUGCCAGACAAAUGACAGGAACGAGAACACUGGGACAAAGGACUUGCUUAUACAAGAUAUGGGACCACAUUUUCCAGAUAGUAGAAUUCACUAAAACAAACAAAAGACAUUUUUUCAUACUUCCAAGGUUUACUGGUGCAGCAAUAGUAAGGUGCAAUUUCAGCAUAAUCCAAGCAAGUUGGGAGUUCAAAAAUGCUCAGCAAUGUCUUCUGUGAAGUGAUUCUGCAGAUCCACCUUGUUCAUAUUAGCACCAGAUUGAUCCUCGUGGGAAGGGUUGCUGCAACAGGAAUGAAAAAAUUGUUUACUCCUCCUCAUGCAAAUGUUCAGAUAUUUGUUUCUGCUUCUCCUUCAUGCAUCCGUAGGGUUGUGAGAAUUUGGGUGGUCCAGCCCCGUGAGCAUGUAGUGAGAUUAGAGUCACGGUGCUUGUAAAGCAAACAUAGGUGCAUAGGUUCAGAAAUGUUGAUACUGGCAACUGGCAGCAAGGGAACCUUUUAAGGGUGCAGGGCUCUAAGGCCUUUGGCAGGAACCAUACAGUGGUUACUUGAAGUAGCACCAUUUUAUUGUCAAUACUGCUAUCAAAAUAUGAGUGUUGUUUUUAACUUGAUCGCGACUGAAUGUCUCCUGAAUAGUUUGGUACCCUUAGUAUUUCUACAAACACAGCUUCAAGGAUCCCAGCCUAAGGUACAUUCUUUUGUCUCCCUCUGUAAAUGUUUAAUUACUGGCUCACAGAAUAAUGUUCAGUUGACACAAGCAUUCGCACAUCCUGGAAUAGUUCUUGAUGUCUACAUUUCCAUUACGUUAUGGUCACACAGUAUUUUAUGAAUGUUGUAUUAGAAGAGAUUUAAACAUUUUGUAUUAAAGCAAAAUUCCUGUGAAGCUAUAUGGUGUCCUCAUAUUGGUAUGCAAAAUGCCACAAAAUUAUCAUAUUUUGGUGUCUGAUAAUUAAAAUGUAACUUAUUAAUACUAUAAAUAUAUUCACACAUGUAGGAAAAAUAUAAAAAAUAAAACCUCAAAAUUCAUUUUUCUGCUUUAGAGUACUUGGAUGUACAGAAAAGAUACUCCUGCAUUGUAAAUUAUACCAAUUCAUGAAAAUAUUUGUAUUACAUUUCUCUUAAAUAUGUAACUCUGAGCUCUGCUGAAGUAUAUCAGAAUUCAUCGUGAUACGCCAAAGAAAGCAUUCAUAUUUGGAUCGUACCAAUAUAGCAAAUCUAACCCAAUGUUCAAAACCCAGCAGAAUGCAUAUAAAGUCUUAACACUCCUGCCUGACAGUUAUUUGUAAAUAGUUUGUUUGUAUGUGUGAUAGCUUGUUCCAUUUUUAACAUUUUUAGCAGAAAACAACCCAACACUCCAAAGGUGAAAAGAAAUGUGGAAGUACUUAUCAGUUCAUGAAUGUGUGGGAAAGAUGACAUUGCCUCUGGCUCUCUUAUUGUUAAAAAUAGUGUCUGAACAGGAAACACUCACAAAAGCAUCAGUGUCCCCACCUUUGCAGCCUACUGAAGUGUCCUCAACUCUUUUAUGCACUCAUCUAUAAAAUUGAAAAACUUCUUCCUCUACGUAAUUGUUAAGAAAGAAAAACAAGCUUUGUUUUCAAACUCCAUCCCCUUUUUUGAUGGAUUAUGUCACCAAAUUUGUUGUGAAUUCAAGUAAGACAUCAGAGAUGCAGUGAGCUAGAAAACGGAUGUUGGCCAUCAGACUUUGCUAGACAGAAAGGAAAAACAUUUUUUUUAAAAAAAGCAUGCAAAACAAAACAAAACAACACAAUUAGGAAAAAAAAAGAUUCGACUAGAACCAAGAAAUACGAACCAAAAUGUUCUUGAAGUGAACUGGUGCCACUGCUUGACAGGACUAACUGACUGAAUUUAAGAAGAGAUUGGACUGUGCGCUUAGUCACAUGGUCUGAACUUUUGGGUAGACCUGUGCGGUGUCAAGAGUUGGACUUGAUGAUCCUUAAGGGUCCCUUCCAACUCAGGAUAUUCUAUGAUUCUAUGAUUCUAUGAAGUGAAUGCUGCAAAUGUUAGCUGAAUGAUUUUUAACUACUAAGGAAGGUGCUUUUUGGUGUGUGUGGGGAUGGACGGAGGGACAACGAUGACACCGUCGCCUAGCUCUCCCGCUACUCUGUAAGCUAUUACCUUCAAGAAUAAGGAAAAUAAAACUGAACGAU
Anas platyrhynchos (mallard) is the source of this 2384-nucleotide long non-coding RNA. RefSeq lists it as uncharacterized. NCBI's taxonomy places the organism in Eukaryota, Metazoa, Chordata, Aves, Anseriformes, Anatidae. The record is from RefSeq and is a predicted model, not a curated record.